UACGGAGGAUGCAAGCGUUAUCCGGAAUCAUUGGGCGUAAAGCGUCCGUAGGUGGCGAAGCAAGUCUGCUGUCAAAGAAUGGAGCUUAACUCCAUAAAGGCGGUGGAAACUGCGUCGCUAGAGUACGGUAGGGGUAGCGGGAAUUCCCAGUGUAGCGGUGAAAUGCGUAGAUAUUGGGAAGAACAUCGGUGGCGAAAGCGCGCUACUGGGCCUGUACUGACACUGAGGGACGAAAGCUAGGGGAGCAAAAGGG
RNAcentral lists this ribosomal RNA (253 nucleotides) under uncultured bacterium. RNAcentral describes it as "partial 16S ribosomal RNA". It matches the Rfam family "Bacterial small subunit ribosomal RNA", at positions 524 to 776 of the family's 1533-position model. The record is from RNAcentral.